RNAcentral lists this ribosomal RNA (806 nucleotides) under uncultured bacterium. Its description in RNAcentral is "bacterial SSU rRNA". It matches the Rfam family "Bacterial small subunit ribosomal RNA", at positions 47 to 843 of the family's 1533-position model. The record is from RNAcentral.
CUUAACACAUGCAAGUCGAGGGGAAACGACAUCGAAAGUUUGCUUUUGAUGGGCGUCGACCGGCGCACGGGUGAGUAACGCGUAUCCAACCUGCCCAUCACUUGGGGAUAACCUUGCGAAAGUAAGACUAAUACCCAAUGACGUCUCUAGAAGACAUCUGAAAGAGAUUAAAGAUUUAUCGGUGAUGGAUGGGGAUGCGUCUGAUUAGCUUGUUGGCGGGGUAACGGCCCACCAAGGCGACGAUCAGUAGGGGUUCUGAGAGGAAGGUCCCCCACAUUGGAACUGAGACACGGUCCAAACUCCUACGGGAGGCAGCAGUGAGGAAUAUUGGUCAAUGGGCGAGAGCCUGAACCAGCCAAGUAGCGUGCAGGAUGACGGCCCUAUGGGUUGUAAACUGCUUUUAUAAGGGAAUAAAGUGAGUCUCGUGAGACUUUUUGCAUGUACCUUAUGAAUAAGGACCGGCUAAUUCCGUGCCAGCAGCCGCGGUAAUACGGAAGGUCCGGGCGUUAUCCGGAUUUAUUGGGUUUAAAGGGAGCGUAGGCCGGAGAUUAAGCGUGUUGUGAAAUGUAGACGCUCAACGUCUGCACUGCAGCGCGAACUGGUUUCCUUGAGUACGCACAAAGUGGGCGGAAUUCGUGGUGUAGCGGUGAAAUGCUUAGAUAUCACGAAGAACUCCGAUUGCGAAGGCAGCUCACUGGAGCGCAACUGACGCUGAAGCUCGAAAGUGCGGGUAUCGAACAGGAUUAGAUACCCUGGUAGUCCGCACGGUAAACGAUGGAUGCCCGCUGUUGGUCUGAAUAGGUCAG